UACGUAGGGUGCGAGCGUUGUCCGGAAUUACUGGGCGUAAAGAGCUCGUAGGUGGUUUGUCGCGUUGUUCGUGAAAACCUGAGGCUUAACCUUGGGCGUGCGGGCGAUACGGGCAGACUGGAGUACUGCAGGGGAGACUGGAGUUCCUGGUGUAGCGGUGGAAUGCGCAGAUAUCAGGAGGAACACCGGUGGCGAAGGCGGAUCUCUGGGCCUUACCUGACGCUGAGGAGCGAAAGCAUGGGGAGCAAACAGG
RNAcentral lists this ribosomal RNA (253 nucleotides) under uncultured bacterium. Its description in RNAcentral is "partial 16S ribosomal RNA". It matches the Rfam family "Bacterial small subunit ribosomal RNA", at positions 524 to 776 of the family's 1533-position model. The record is from RNAcentral.